GCAGCAGCCGGCGCGGUGUGGCGGGCAGCGGCCGCCGGAGUGCGGCCGGGUUGGGCCGUGGGGCUGCCAUGCUGCUUCAGCUGGCGGCCGAGUUUGACCUGCAGAGGGAUGUGGUGCCCUGGCUGGCGGCGCGGGGCUGGGCCGUGGCUCUAGAUACUUCUGAGAAAUCAUCAGCACUUUACAUUGUAAAUGUUGAAAGAAAUGGAAAAAUUAUUUACACCUGGAAGGGAAAUCAGAGAAGUACCCAUAUUGGAUUGUAUGACCUUCAAAUGAAAGAAAAUGAGCAUCUCUAUACGUUUGAGAAAGAUCUACGCAUAAUCAGUUGUUCAAUCAACAGUGAAAGGACGUUAUUGGCUGUCAGCUUCCGCCAGUAUACAGAGGAAGAAAGAGUGACUCACCUGUUACAGUCAGUGUCCAAGUAUUUAGCCUUGCUAAUUGAAAUUCAUCCCAUUAAUAAUGUGAAAGUCCUAAAGGCUGUGGAUAGCUGUGUUCGAGUGCAGUUUCUUUAUCCAGUGGAAGACAGAAAUAGUUCUACAGAAAGUCAUCUUUUGCUCGUUUCAGAAGAUAAAUACAUCGAACAAUUCGAUAUUCACGUUGCAGAAGAGGAACACAGAGUGGUGAUUCAGAACUCAGGUCAGCUUCCAAGAGCCAGAGUUGCAGAUGAUCUCAUUUGGGCACAGUGGGAUAUGACAGAACAAAGACUCUUCUACAUUGUUCCAAAGGAAUCAAGGAGUAUUUUAAGAUGUGUCCAGUUCUACCCUGAUGAAAAUUUUAACUCAACACUGGAAUCACAGCUGGAUAUUUCUGUAAAUGACAAACAAGUAAAACUUGUGAAUUUUGGAUACAAUGACUGUGAAGACCGAGAUGUUCCAUCCAAGUCUUUGAAUCUUCAGGUUUUUACAAGUAAAGCAGGAGGACUGUGUGUGUGUUGUAGUCUUCCUUCGGAUAUUCCUGGGGAAAUAUCAUACUCCAUAUAUUUUUUACAUAAAGGGUUUAGCAAAACUUUUACAGCUUCUCUAGAAAGACCAGAAACUCCUCAAUUGAAGGAAGUGGCCUUUUUGAAUCUUGACUAUUAUGUGGCUGCUUAUUUGCCUGGACAGUUCCUGCACCUCCUAAAUAUUCACCAUCCUGACCUGCUGUGCUACAGUUUAUUUCUGACAGGUGAGGAUGCAAGAAUUGACAUGUUGCCAAACUGCUCCAUCCAGUCCCCACUCGUUUCAACAGUCUUGGAUUGCUGCAUAGGAAGACUGUAUGCAAUGAGCAUCAGUGACAGUGCCUUACUGAAGUUCCUACAGAACAGCAAACGAGACAGUGAGAGGUUGGCAGCUCUACAUUGUGCUCUUCUGUGUGUCAGAAGUACAACAGACUUGGAAAUGAAGAUUAUUUGGUGGAUUUCUGAGAACCUAUCAACGUGUCAUUCCUUUGAUCCUAUUCAGGAAUUUAUCAUUGCCUCUCUGUACUGCAGAAUGUGUCCAGAAACCAACAACCUGGAUAAACUCUUGCCCUACACAUCACUGCUUGACUGGACUGGGGUUAUCCCUGGAGUAGCAUGUGCAACAGACAUUAUUUCUCUACCUGUGUUAGAGAUGCAAAACUCUAAAGGCUUCUGGGAGAAACUCGACUCAAACUUGGAGAGUGUGAAGUAUGCAGAGCCACACUUGCAUUACCACAAUAAUGUGCUCAGGAGGGAAUGGCGUAAUCUCUCAGAAGAGACAGAAGAGAGAAGAGCCACAGCAUAUUUAAGGAAUAUAUUUGAAAACGCCAAAAAGGUGCUUUCUCAUCUGGAUGCUUGGGACUCUGAGGAAAGGCUCGUACCUCUCUUUCAAGAGGAAGACUAUCAGCAGCAAUUACUAAUGGGACUGAUGGUUGCUCAGCUAAAGGAUCAUCUUAUGAGACAUCUGCAGUAUGUAGGAAAAAAGAAGAUUGACCAAAUAGUGCUGGAUUAUGUUGCAAACCUGCUGAAUCUGGUACAUCGAAUAAUGAAAGAAGUUUGGAAGAUACAUCAGCUGCAUUCCUGCAUCUUCUGCUUUGAUGAGAGAGGAAGUGAAGCAGAGUUCAGAGUGUUUCACAUCAUGAGUCGAAUUCUGGAAGCUGCAAAUGGCAUGUGUAUGCCUUUACCUCCUGGUUUUCACUCUCUACACUUGGGGCUUGGUGUUCGAUGUCUCCCCCUUCAUACUCUCCUGCACUAUAUUGACAAUGGGGUUCUACAUCUGACAGAAACCUGUGUCAGGAAACUGCUGAAAGAUCUGGAUGACAAUGAGAAGAAUGAAAAGCUGAAAUUCAGUAUUGUGACAAGGCUUCCCGAGGUGACUUUGGAUGCUCUUGGUUUAAAGGCCCGUCAGUUCUGGGAUCAUCCAGUAAAUGCUAAUUUCCGUGCACGGAAGUAUGUGAAACUUUUGCUUGAGAAGCUGGGGAAUAGGCAGUGUAGCAGGCCUGUCCCUGAGAGACACCCAGUCUGUGUAGAAUUUUUGCCUCUUAACUACCUGACUAAUGUGCUGGCAGAGAUAGAGAGUCAAGGUGUGCAUCUGUAUGAAAAACAAGAUCACAUUAAUGUCAGGUUUGUGGAGGAAGCAGCACUGAAACACACGAUGAUGCUCUUGGGCCUCAGAUAUUCCUGAAACUUCUUUCUUCAACUGCAUGUAAACUGUGGUACUCAAAAUCACUCAUAUGGAAGAGGAGGAAGGCCUUGAUCUAUCCUUGAUGAAACAAUCAUCAAAAACUCUUCUCUGUCUCUCAUUUCCUGCUGGAGUUUAAUGGCAAGUGCUUGCUUCAUGGACAACUCUGCAACAAGAGCCAUCAUCUUCUGGGUCCUGUCUUUUAUCUUCUUCUGUAGUUCAUUUAUCUGCAAUCAGAAACCAAGUACAUUUUGGAUAUUUAGUAACAACUACAUCUGCAGGCACUUACUGGAUGUGGUGCUCAGGUAAGUGUAAGUAAGGUUGGUGAAAUCAACUGUGUUUCAAAAAACAACUCUUUUCUUGAAAGUAAGGAAACAGUGUCUGUUUCCUGGGUAUACUUGGAACCCUGCCAGCAGGCAGUAUUAAAAAGUCACAUUUACUCCAAUGCAAGGUUAGAAAAUAUCAACUUUGUAAUGCUAUCCUGCCCCUUACAGAUGACUCACAAGACUUCCAUUUACCUCCAAGGAAGGUAUUAAGCCUGGAUUCUGAUUGAGGCUGUGCACAAUUACUGCAUUAUUAACAAGUGUGUUAAGUCCAGUCCUCACAGGGCAGUUCAGUGAUAACGUGGACACGGCUGUUUUGUGAGGUGUUGAGUUAUCCUUAGCAGGGAGAUGGACAGAAAGGGAACGGGGUGGGAAUCUGAUUCUGACUGGAGAGAAGUUUAAAAAUCAAGAUUAUAUAUAUACACUAAAAAAAAGCAUAAAAGAGCUCAAAUGCUGCUUUUGAAGUAACUAAUAGAGAAUUGGGGGAGUCAGAGCACGUAACUUCUGGCACAGUGCCAUUGGUACACUAAUUUAUUAGCCAGUGGCUGUAAUCUCACACAGGCAAAUGGCAGCCAUGUUAUUUCUUUCUGUAGAAAAUGAAAGAUUUCCUCCAGGGAUGUGUUCUGAUUUUAAGCCUGAGUGCCAGAGUUAAUAACAAAGAAAAGCAAGUCAGCCCUGGCCUUGUUGUACAUUAAUUACAUCACUGUGGUGUUUGUUUUUUCUCUCUCUCUCUCUCUCUCUCUCUCUCUCUCUGGGUUUGGAUCUAUUUGAAGCUUUUUCCAUCAAGGAGGUGGAGGUGGGAAGAUUUCUGUUUUUGGCUGCUACUGUGUUUGUUGUUCUUUGGCCAAUGCCACUGACUUCCUGUCUCUGUCCUUCUUUCUUUUGCUUUCUCAGUUUUCUCUCUGUUAUUAUACACUUUCCAAGUAGCCUCAAGUAAUUUACUUAAGGAUCAGGCCUCCUCUCCUUCCAUUUUUUGCAGUUUUUGUUUAAUGUCUGGAUUAGCUUGCUUGAUGAAAGUACAGGCCAACUGCAGAGCUCCCCUUCCUUCUUUGGGUCUCAUGUCUGGAAGCACUGGACCUGAGAAAUAACUUAGUGCAUGUUUUGGUGAGAGACCAAUUGAUGCUGCAAUUUUCUUUCAAAAAGAAAGUCCAUUCCUAAUGCUCUUGCUGUGCCUAUAUUACUGUGAUUACUAAAUGUCUGUCAUUUCUUAAGAUUAACGUACAGUUUGCCUGUCACUAAUUCCAGCUGCUAGUUUAGUAAUUUGCAAGCAGGUCAUCUCACCUACUGCCCAGAUAGAAUUUGGUUUCCUAUGGGCCAGUGGGCAGAGCAUGCCCUCCUUACCCUUGUUGCUAGCAGCAGUGUGCCCUGCUUCCCAUUCUCUGCUGUGGCACGGAUCCUGUCUGUGAGCCGGGCAAUGUGUUGGUAGAUGAUGUCUGUCUCCAGCAGCUUCUCCUCCUUCUGUACCAGCUCCACCUCCAGCUGCAGUGGGAGGAAUAUAUGCACAGCACAGGUAAAUGCUGGGGGAAAGUGCAACGGAAGGUGUUCCUGUGGCUGCUUGGAGACACCUUCAGAGCUAAUGUAAUUAAGCAGCAAUGUUUUUCACCGGCAGUUUUCCCAAAUUACACCAGCAUUACUACUGCUUUGCCAUGAUUUGAGUGAAAGCCAUGAUUUUUUUUUUUCCUAGUGAUUUUUUUGUUUUGUUUUUAAAUUUCUGGUUCUUUGAGUUACAGCAUUAAAAGUUUCAGCUCUUGCUUGAAGUAAUCUCCCCCUGACACCUUGCUGUUAAAUGUGAGCACCAAACACGAAGUACUGUGCAACUGAAGGGACUUUAAAACAUAAGGAGAGAUUGAAUGGGAACAUUAAAUCUACGUCACACAUACACAAAAGCCAGUUUUGUAAUGUUGGUGAGGUUGGUACAGGUGGGCUGUGACCCAGCUGGCCUGGGUGCCUUUGGGUACUGACCUCUCCUGGGGCUCUGUUUGGAGCAGAAACAAAGCAGAAAAGCCAAUCCCUGCAGAGUUUGCUGGUUUAUGUCACGUGUGCAGGUUUUGUGUUGAGAGGACGGUGGGCCUGCCUUUGGCUCACAUACAUCAGUGGUUUAUUAUUUUGCACACCAUUUGCUUUUUCUAAAAGAACUCAAUGCACGGUGUUAGGGCUGUGCAGUGAGACCUGACGCUACCUGUUCGAUCUUCUUCUGCAGUUCAGGUGCAGAUGGGUCUUUCCCUCCCAGGUCUCGCUUUCUGCUCUCAUUUGUGGGGUCCACAAAGAUUUCCUCCAUCUCUUUAAUCCUGUCCUUGCACUGGGAAUACUGGUAAACAAAAACACGCAAGGGUUACUUUUCUGACCAGAAGCAAAAAGCCCCAUUGCUGCAGUGCUGAGGGAGGGAAGGUCUCUGUGUGCCUGGUGUGCUGUGCCUCAGCAGUCAGGGUGUUCAGGUGCACAGCUCAUGGCCAUGCUGCACUGCCCAAGCUCAGAAGCAGGACUGCAGCCUCGUUGGGAGUGCCUGGGGUGCUGUGGCAGCGCAGGCCUGUGUCAGUCUGUGCUGGUCCAACACUCAGAACAUUUCCCUACACCGCCAGAGGUGGCAUUGUCCUGUCAUAUUGGUAGUGAAUGUGAGAGCUUGUGCCACAGAAGGGUUCUUUCAGGGGAGUGGUUUUAAAAGAAAAGAUGGGAAAUUCAGGUUAGAUGCUGGGAAGAAGUUAUUUACUCAGAGGGUGCUGAGGUGCUGCCCAGAGGAGCUGUGGGUGCCCCAUCCCUGGAGGUGCCGGGUUGGACGGGCCCGGGGCAGCCUGAGCUGGGGGGGCAGCCUGCCCAUGGCAGGGGUUGGGACUGGUGGGCUUUGAGGUCCUUUCCAACCCAAACCAUUCUGUGAUUCUAUGAAGGCUUUUUUCUAAGACAUAGAUAAAAUUUCCACUCAUUAAUGAUUUCUUGAGCUCUUGUUCCCUUGACUGUGUGUGCAACACAGCGACCUGUGUAUCAGUACAGCAGUCAUGCCAGCCAGGGUUUUUCUCUUAACCACCAGCUAUCCUGGCAAGAGCCUGGACUGGAAAAUGUUUUUUACUUUCUAAAUACAUUUGGAAAGUUAAGGAAAAAGCAGCAGUCCUGGGGGGAGAUGGUCAGCUUCGGCCAUGCUGUCAGGAUGGGAAGCUGGGGCUGGUUUGGGCGAGGGCUGCCCUCCAUCACCGCUGUCAGUGAGCGGCGGGGCCUAUCUGUGUGCAGAUGGAUGUAGCUCUGGGCAGAGGAGAGUGGAAACCCCCAGGGAAGGGAGUGAGCCCUGAGGGCCAGGCUGGAUGGGGUUCAGCUGCCCAGCCUAGUGCAUGGUGUCUGCACCUGCGAGGGUGGUUGUGAGGUGGGCCCAGGCCAGUCACUGCUGGCAAUGAAAUGCUGAGUGUGUUUUGUACCCAGGGGCAUCCAGGUUUUCUCUGCUGCUGUUCUGAGCGUGUCCUGCAGCAACUCGGCUGUGGGGCACUGCAGGGACUGUGAGUGCCGAUUCUGCAGUACUGUGUUCAGGCCUGGGGCCCCCAGCACAGGAAGGAUGUGGAGCUCUUGGAGCAGCUCCAGAGGAGGGCCACUGAGAUGAUCAGAGGGCUGGAGCAUCUCUCCUAUAAGGAAAGGUUGAGGGAACUGGGCUUGUUUAGCUUGGAGAAGGGAAGGCUCUGGGGAGGCCUCAUUGUGGCCUUCCAGUACUUGAAGGGAGCAUAUAAACAGGAGGGGGAAUGGCUGUUUACGAGGGUGGAUAGUGAUAGGACAAGGGGGAAUGGUCUUAAACUGAUACAGGAGAGGUUUAGGCUGGAUAUUAGGAAGAAGUUUUUCACCCAGAGGGUGGUGACACACUGGAACAGGUUGCCCAAGGAGGCUGUGGAUGCCCCAUCCCUGGAAGCAUUCAAGGCCAGGCUGGAUGUGGCUCUGGGCAGCCUGGUCUGGUGGUUGGUGACCCUGCACAUAGCAGGGGGGUUGAAACUCGAUGAUCAUUGUGGUCCUUUUCAACCCAGGCCGUUCUAUGAUUCCCAGAAUACACAGAUGGAACUCCAUGUGCCUCUCCAUUGCUUGCUGAAGGAAUGACUGGGAACGUUUCCUCAUGUCUGGACUCAUGGGGCAGGCCAUGGUUGCUGUGUGUCCAAUGUGCACCUGUCUGUCUGUCAGCACACCGUCACACCCGCAUCUGUUGGAACACAAGUGUGGUGACUUCCCUGUUAGUGCUAACCUGCAGCCAGGGGUGGUGACAUUGUCAAGGAAAUGGCGCUCACAGCUCUGGGAAGAGUCACCACAAAAACACGUGAAUGUUUCACUGUCGCUAUAGGGAUAGGGUUUAUGCAGUGGAAGAGAACGGUUUCUGUUCAACUGCCAAUGGGAAAACUGACAGGUAUUCGCAUGUGAUAAUGGAACAUCAGCACAGUACUUGCUCUAAGUAGCUCUUUUCUGGGAAAAAGGCUCGUGCAGAUCUUUCCUUUACACUUUGUCUAAGAACAGACAGAGUAGAAGCCCUCAAUAUCUGCGUUGAGCAGCUUCCUUGUCAAACUCUGGUUUGAUAUAAAAUGCACGCCCUUCCGCAUGCAACUCAUUUCAGGGGUACUGAAAAGUUGAUUUUAAUUUCAAACAGCUGAAAAUGGAGCCCAGCAGUACCUGAGAACUACAAGCGGAAGAACACAAGAACAGGGUGAGCUCAAACAACAGGAUGCAGUGCUGCUGCCGGAGAUCGGGGGCCAAAGGGCUCCAGCAGCAGCGCAGCUGCAGGCACCUCAGUGGAGGCGGUGGUACCUCCGUGGGAUUAGCACAGCUCCCCGCGCUGCGUUUUACAGGGUUGAGUUGUUACUUUAUCAAGGGGCUGAUGCAGAACAAACGCUGUCCCAACCAGGAAAGGAAAUCCAGGUUUUCUGAUAAAUGCUUGGCUUACUUUUACAGGUGAUGGGAAUUAAAUAUAAGCUAAACCAAAAAUAUGGAAAGCAAAACACACUUGGAGAUAACCAUGAUAUUGUGUGUCUGCUUAAGCAAUGUAGUGAUAGGUCCGUCUUAAAACCAGAAAAGCCCUUUCUUGGAGUGCUUUUGAUACAGGGAAUGGCUUUGCUGUGCUUGACUGUAGAUAGGAGGAACUGCUGAAGAAUGAGAAGAUGAGAGGGAACACAGAGCAGAUAAAGGGCUGCUCAGAGAGGGAAGGGCUCAUACUGAUUCUGGAAACCUCAGGGAACAUAGCAGGGGGUACCUCAUGCACUGGAAAGGAGCAAAUAUCACAUCUGGUUUUUAAAAUGGGGGGAAAUGGAGCUGCGGAUUAUAGAUGUUAUUUAUAGAUGUAAUAUAUAGAGAUGUAAUUAAUCACUUCCUGAAUAAUAAAUCUGGAAAAAAUCAUGAAGCUUUCUUUGUAAAUAGCUGGAAAAUAAAAGGAGUAUGAAUAAUAGCUAAUGUAGUCGUGCCAAACAGUCUGACCUCCUAUUAUUUAACCUGAGCGUGGAUGAGAAAUGGUAGGUAUCAUACUGUUUGACUUUUACAUAACUUCAAUAUUGUUUCAUAUCAUCUCAUCAUAAUUGAGCAAAGGAAACAGGUUCUUGAUGAAAAUGUAAGGUAAGGACUACAUCAAGAAAUGUAGUCACAAAGCAAACGUGAAUCAGCGUAUUGUGCUGUUGCAAGAAGAGCUACCAUCGUACCAGGAAGUGUAAGCAGAAGUGCCACCUGCCUGAAUGAAACCUUUUGCUCUCAGCCACUGCUGUUAAGCACUGCGCUUGAAGGCAGAAAGAAAGGAAGGUAGAAAAGAAGGAUUGAAGCAGCACCAGCUCUAAGGGCUGAUGCAAAGGAGUAGGGCUGUGCAGCCCAACAAAAGCAUGGGAGAGGAACGUGGCUGACGUUAUUCCAGGAAUGUGAAAUGUUGCUGCAGGGAGGAAGAGAAUGAUCUGUUUGUUGUGUCCCUGGUGGAUGGAAAAGAAGCCAUUAGGCCUACACUGCAGCAAGAAAGGCUCCGCUUAAGGUUUUAAGAAAACCGUUCCUGUGUUAAGGACAGCACUGGGACAGCUUGCCUGGGGAACAGGAGCUUCCACCAGGAGUGGCUGAAAGAGCCGCUCUGCCCUCAGGAAUGGCAGGCAGCCCCGCCUGGGGCACAAGCAGGCCUGCCACAAGGCUCUUCUCCACUCUGCUAGCCCUGGUUUUCUACAACUGAUGCUGUGGUCCAUAGACUUUCAUGAAGCCAUAUUAAAACCUGGAUAAACUGAUGCCAAAUGCCUCUGUGCAAUUAUCAGUCCCUGUGUGUUAGCUUAGCUCAGAGGCAUGAAGGUGCCACGUGGAGCACUGUGAGCUCAGCAGGUCUGUUUGUUGGACUAAUUAACGAUUAAUGCCAGGUACUUCUCAUUGCUGAAGGCAGAUUAGUUUUCAUGGGUUGUUUCAGUCAGCAGGAACGUGAUGUGCAGUCACAAGUAAAAGCUGUAUAGUUUGAUGCCCACCUUAAAAUCUCCUUGGGUGUUUAUUGUGUCAGAUAGAGGAACUGCUUCUAAAUAUUUCUGAUUUUAGUGCCUUACAGUGGAUGUAACAAAAAUACCCAGCCCAUCUUGGCAGCCCUUUUGCUUAGAGCAGAUCUGGCGUUGCUUGAGAUAAUAUCUAUCAACAUCUGUCAUUCUUUUGAGAAAGUAUAUGGCAUUAGAUGGAAAGCAUAAGAGUGGGAUAUCUGUGGGUUUGGUGAUUGAGCAACUCGUGUGGAACACAGGAGAUCCAGGUGACAUUUUUGUUCUUCCUGUCUUGCCAUGCAGCCUCCAUCUGUGCUUCCCCACUUCCCAGUGGGUACCACAGCCACCAGACACGGAGUCAGCAGCGGUAGUCUAUUGAAUAUGAUGCAUUCAUUCACCUUCUGGUUAGAAGUGUGUCUCUAAGGAAACAGAUAACGCAUCUCAGAAUAGUUAAUUUGCUGAUGAUUAAAGCAUCUGGUGAGAAUAUGGGAGGCUUAGAUUCAAAUGAUGUCUCAAAAAAAAAAAAAUCAGAAAUAUUUCCUUCCUGCUUAUUUUCUUCUCAGUGUUUGAAGCAUUGCCUCUAACUGUAUCUGUGCAUGGAAGAUUGUUCUGCAUUCAGUACCAGAAAGUUUAAUUCACAUCUAGAGUGAGAAAAGGGGACGCAGUUCUGGAGUAAUGGGGAGACUGGGAAAUGCAGGAGAGAAGAAAAGCAGCACAGAAAAAGAAUAAGAUGACAAAGUUUGGAAAGUACCCGAGAUGUAAGGAGAUAGUGUAGGAAAAGAAGAAAAAGAAAAUGUAAGAGGCACAGAGACAGGAUUUGUCCUGCCUGAUUCAGAUAGUCUAAACUGUAUUUCAAACGUAGAUGCCUUCUGAAGCACUUUUCCUACACGAUUUGAAGAUUCCUGUGCAAUCCACGAGGAGAGGCAGGUGCCCUGAGGACAAAGACCUCCAAGAGUUGUCAGGAUCUCCUCCGAAGGCAAAGAUGCCAAACUCUUUUUGUUAAUACAGAGCUCUUACCAUUGAUUUGGAUAAUUUGCCCAGUGGGCUCUAACUUCAGGUCGGAGUGCCUGUGACCACCUCGUUAGGCUUCAGCUUGGCAUCAAAGGUUGGGUUCACAGGAAAGAUGGAUUUAGACCUAUACUGACCACAUCAAGUCAAGGUCGUGUGCGAAUGAGCAUUGCUGUAAAAGACUUUGCACACUGUAACCAAGUGAUGCUGUUGGAUGUCAACACGGGGCCAGAUCUGUAAUCAGGACAGGAGUUAAUGAUCUGACCGAUGCCAGAAUUUAGUGUAGGGUUUAUGACUUUUAUUUAAAUCAAGGUGAUAAAGCCAAAUGAUUUAAAACUGUUUCUCAGUGAUCAUAAUGGUAAUUACCAGCAGAAGGAUGAGUAUCAAUGCUAGAAUAGCCGACAGCACAGGGAGAUGGCUUGGCUGGCAGCCAGCUUGAACCACGUAAUGUUCCAUAACCACAGUAUCUAGUUACAUCUGAAAAGGUGACAACUGAUUAUUUGCCAUUGUUUGUUAAAAAUCCCUGACUUGGGAACACGCAUAGAGAACAUAUCACAACACUGUUUUCAUUCUUCUUUACUUCCUGCAAGAAGAUUUCAAAAGCCUGUAACAGCAGCCUCCCUUCAGCUGUGGGUUUGCUCUUAACACAGACCAUCAUCACAAAGGAGAAAGUUUCAGGAAUGUAGAACAGAAAACUCAACACAGAAAUCGUCUGCACUUUGUUACUGCAUUUGUGUCUCUCAGUCUCAUUCUAAGUCUUAUCUGGAAGCAUCUCUUAUUUUCUCCAGUCUGCCAUCUCUUUUUAUGCUCUUUUUAUUCAUCGUUUAAGUCUGUAAUUGUACUGUGAAGAUCUUUGAGGCAUGAUUUGCAUAAGGUAUCGCACAAAACUGUAUUUUAUUAGCAGAGCAUACAAUCUCUUUAAAAGACCAGAAAUAAGAGAACAGUGCAAGCACUAUUUAACAGCGAGGCACAGCUCCAUCGAUGCAAUUACAGAUAGCAAUGGUACACCAUAAUUUUGUGUAGAUGCUAACAGAGUAUGUGUGGAAAAAAUUACCAUCUGGAGAUAAGGUCAAAAGUAAAUGGGCCAUUUCAGAAAGCAAGGAAAGAAUGCCUAGAACAAUGACGAAAACCAGAGUUUGUUAAUUGUUUAAUGUCAUGUUGUAACUAGAACUAAAACUUAUACUGUUUUUGUGUAGAAGGAAAUGUAUGUGGCAUCACUGUGGGCAGCAGAGUUUCCAGAGUAGGCUCAGGGUCAAGAUUGAAUUGGGCUGUUAUUUUAGAAAUGUGAAGAGCUGAGUAUAUUUCCCAGCCCUCCACCUACCCAUCAGUACAGCUUUAACAAUUUUUAUCUCUGUUCCCAUACUUUCCCCAUGACUGCCAUUCUCCAGCUUAGUCAUCUUGACAUUUACGACCCUGGGAGGGCUGGCUGGGAUGGAGCGUUGGGUAUGUGCAUGGCAAAUGGAGUCAGUUACAUGCAAGCUAGAAACUCACAUAUUUCAAGUUAAAAUAUACAUCAGCGCUUUCCUGGACAGAUGUAUUAGUGAACUGUCUAUUUUAAUAAGCCUUGUACAUGCAGACUUAUAUUGUAUAUGAUAAUUGUUUUUAAAUACAGAAUUAGAGAAACAAAAGGAGGGGGAAAGAUUUCUUUCCCACUAACCUGUAUCUGAAGUACGACCAACUCUGCGUCCAGGACUCUCUUCAUUGGGAGUGCUUUGAGCCAGAAUUUGAUCUGUCUCUCUUUCUCAGCCACCUUCAUCUUCAGAAAACUGAUCUUUUCAUCCAUAGCUUGCAUCUCAAUAUCUCCUUUUCUACACAAAAACUCUUGUGCAUUUAUUUUUUCAUAUAAAAUACAUAUUUCUUCUUCUCGACUUCUAAGCAGAAGGCCGCUGCAAUGAGUCCCAAGUGAAAAGGUAGAUUUUUAAAAAUUUUGGUUGGUAUUCAGUGUAUUCCAUUCAAGAACAUAAAAGGCAGAUUUUAAAAAUGACAGCAAUAAUCUGGGAAAUAUAGCAAGAUUUCACAGAUGCUAUUUUAAUAUUGUUAUAGCAAUUUUAAAAGAGGACAAAAGAAUUACAAGCUGAAAAUUGGACAACACAGUUACCAAGAUUGCUUUGGUGCUUCAUACCAUUGCUACAAGCUUUUUUUUGCCUCCUACAGCAUUGAUUUGGAAAAUGGAGAAAUGCAAUCAGAGAGCUUUUCUCUGCACUUCCACAUGAGAGUAUUGCACAAAGCGCAAACAGAGAGUAGAGGCUACAAGCUCUCAAGGCAUUCAGCAGACAAGGUACAGUGCUGUUCUGUAAGAGUUCUGAAGAAUGAAUGGCUCCAGCAGUGGAGAACCAACACACACGUCCAUGACACACAGCAGUACUGGCAUUGCAGUGGGGCAGGCUGCUUGCGGGGCACCGGAGUGAAGGUGCCCUUAGUGUUCUUGGUUAGACUUGCUCCGAAAUUGAAAAGUAUCAAUUCAUGAAUUUCAAAAUGACCCACUUUAUUGCAUCACACUUACACGCGUACCUCUCAGUUUGUUCCUCAGUGGCUCUCUUGUACUUCUUGUGCAGUUGUGCAAUUUCCUCUUCAAUGCGGGUGACUGCAUUGGUAAGUCCGUCAAGAUCCAAAACCUGUUGCUUUUUCUUUUCAUUCAUUUCAUACAUGACUUGUGCGACUUUGGAACAAUCAUUUUUGAGACUCUCUUUAAUUGCUGCGUUAUUUUUAUUUUUCAUGUGUUGUUUCUGCAGUUCUCUUUAACGUAAACAGAAAAGUAGGAAGGUUUUGAGUCCUUUCAAUUUGAAAGCAAUUUCAGCACAAAAAAGCAGAGCUUAAAAUAAUUGCUUAGUUGCACAAAGAAUCUUCUAUGUCACUCUGCUUUGAGGAAGUAUGGCAAGAGGUAGAACCCUUUCCUGAGAACCACCUCUGUACAAGCUCUUUCCAACUCGAGCAGAUCUGGACUAUUGCCCAUUGAAAUGCUAUAACUGGAGCCUGCACCACAGCUCUUCUGCCCUGGGAAAAAAACUUAAAGAGUAGAAGCGUGGACUGCAAAUUCUUAAUGUGAUGCAAAUUCUUAAUGUGCAGUAAGCCUGUCCUUCUCUUCAUUUACAGUUCAAUGUUUAAAUGACACAGUUGUGACUCUGAGGUCUCCAAGCACUGUAUCCCAGCAUUCACACAAGAUAGAAUAUUAUCAAUAUUAUCAAUCUUUCUAUCUGAAAGAUGUGGAAAAAACAUCAUAACAAAAGGUUGGGGGCGAGAUCUAUCACAACUAUGCAUGAAAAUGAAGAAGAAAAGGUGUUAUGUCAAGAGACGGAUGGCCACUGGACAAUGGUGCCUUGCUGAGAAGACAGCUUCUUGUUGCCACACAGAGCAUUCCUUUGGUAACAGCAGGAAUUCAGACUUACUGCAUUUAAACUGCACUAAGUGUCACUUCUGGACUAAGAGACUACUUUGUCUACACUGGGAAGAUAUUUGUUAACAUACAAAAGAGGUAGUGAAAGAAGAAGCACUGUCUCCUAUUAAAAUGCGGAACUGCAGAUGAAAGGCCCUGCCUCCCAUUCUCAGUUCCGUAUGAGGCUGCUGAAUUACUCUGUGCAAAGCUGUGAGAUUCUUUCUGGUUCAUUUCUGCUUUUGUAAAUCAAGUGUCAGAAUGACAGAAAGGUAGUAUUGGAGAAAUGCAGCCUAUUAUUAAAUGGAAUAUGAAAAAAACCUAUCUUUUCAAACUGAUACUCUGUCUUCCAAAGUGAGUAGUUUGCAGUUAAGUCAGGGAUACCAUGAUGGAUUUUUACCCUUUUUUCUCCUCUUCCUCUCACAAGUAAUUUAUUGGGAAGGCCUCAAAAAUUUUAGCACAAAACAUCAGCUAGUGCACGUCCUCAGAAUCACUUCAGUCCAUGAAGUGCCACUUCUUUUCCAGCUUGCUCCAGCGUGGCUUUGAAGUCAAGGUACAUGGAGAUUCGCUACGUGUAUAGAUUGAAUUUAUCCUGAAUGCAGUCUUAGGUCUGGCUGUGCAAUUUUUGUUUUUGGCACCAGAAAACAAAGUUUUGGGCAAAAUAAAUUAUUCAUAAACUUAGUUUUGACUGUGCUGUUUUGCUUACAGAAUUAACCCUUUCCUAGCUUUCUGCUUUCCCAACUACCAAUUUCAGAGACACUGUCAUUGUCUGUCUGGUGCCAAGCAGAAAAUCACCACUAGGAUGACAAAAAGAUGGCAAAAAGGCAUCUCCUCUAAGUAAUGAUCAAGGAAAAAACAGAAUCACAAACACCAGCUACACCCCCUCAUCCUCUUUGCUGUCAGUGCAAGGUUUCAUUUUGAUGAGGAUUGCCUAGAAGUUGAAACCAUGUUUUGUUUGAUCUGAAAUAAAUACUAUCCAAUAGACUACAACUUGAGUUUGAAACAAGAAGCUCAGUUCUAAUUUAAUAAUUAAUUGGCCAUAUCACUAGCUAGUGACUCAUUUACUGGUACCACCCAGUCUGUUGUGGAGUUGUGUAUGGUUUCGACCUCUUUUUGCCUAAGGAUGGGUACAACAGAGUUGUUCAUAUUCAGAUGCUAGAGGCUUGAGAGCAGUUAUACGAAGAAAAUAUAAAGACAGUUUUUCACUUGAAAGGAUAGGAAAAUGAGAAAGAGUGCGGACAAUCUUCAAAAAUGUUUCCUUCCCAUGCAGUGAUGCCCAAACUAAUUGUAAAGUGUUAGGAUUGGAGCAGAUUCUGUGCGGGUGUUGCGAUAUUUCUUUGGAUCAGGUUUUAAAAAUCAGGGUAAUAAAUGUGAAUAGGAUUCUUUCUAAGAAAA
This is an RNA transcript of Gallus gallus (chicken), 15136 nucleotides long. It is a transcript of the gene named gamma-secretase activating protein, with no coding region annotated. Lineage: Eukaryota; Metazoa; Chordata; Aves; Galliformes; Phasianidae. The transcript has 32 exons. The record is from RefSeq and is a predicted model, not a curated record.